UUCGGAACUGUUUUCAGAGGGAACAUCAGAACAUCGUCUGAUCAAAUCGCAGUGAAGAAGAUAACUCCGAAUAGUAUGCAAGGUGUUCGAGAAUUCAUCGCAGAGAUCGAGAGUUUGGGACGGCUAAGACAUAGGAAUCUGGUGAAUCUCCAAGGAUGGUGUAAACACAAAAACGAUCUCUUGUUGAUUUACGAUUAUAUCCCAAACGGAAGCUUGGACUCUCUGCUCUACACUAAACCGAGAAGGAGCGGCGCUGUUUUAUCUUGGAAAGCGCGUUUUCAGAUCGCAAAAGGAAUCGCGUCUGGCUUGUUGUACCUCCACGAAGAAUGGGAACAGAUCGUGAUUCACAGAGACGUGAAACCUAGCAACGUUCUCAUUGACUCCGAUAUGAACCCUAGACUGGGAGAUUUCGGACUCGCGAGGCUUUACGAACGCGGAUCGAAAUCGCGAACCACCGUUGUCGUCGGGACGAUUGGGUAUAUGGCGCCGGAGCUAGCCCGCAACGGAAACUCCUCAGCCGCUUCCGACGUUUUCGCGUUUGGCGUUUUGCUGUUAGAGAUCGUCACCGGGAGAAAACCUACCGACUCUGGGACCUUCUUCAUAGCCGAUUGGGUAAUGGAGCUACAAGCGAGCGGUGAAAUCCUCAGUGCGAUCGAUCCGAGACUUGGAUCAGGUUACGACGAAGGAGAGGUGAGGCUUGCUCUCUCCGUCGGCUUGCUCUGUUGCCACCAUAAACCGGAAUCCCGGCCGCCGAUGAGAACGGUGAUUAGGUACCUAAACAGAGACGAGGGUGUUCCUGAGAUUCACGAUAAUUGGGGUUAUUCAGAUUCUUCAAGAACCGAUUUAGGAUCUAAACUCGUUGGAUACGUAUCGUCUGAUAGGGCUUCGAGCUCACACUCACACACAUCUUCGUCUCUCACAAGGAUCUCUUCAACAUCAUUUAUCAGUGGUAGAUAAAAUUAGAUAGUGGCACUACUUUGACACAUUCAAGCCUUUUUUUAACUCUCUCUCUCUCUCUCUCUCUCUCUCUCUCUCUCUCUCUCAAUCAUAUUCUUAUGUUUUUCAUCUCUUUAACUAAUUCAAAUUUGUGUUUUGAAUUUGGGCUCGGCCCAUUGAGUUUCUUUGAAUCUUCGUAUCCAAUAACAAAAAGUCGCACCCAUUAAUAAAGGAAAUUAAUUUUAAAAAAGGCAUAUUUUCCAUUUGAUACCUUGCCGGAUUUUGUAUUAGUAUCAAAACUAUAUUAAGAAAUCAAAUCAUUUAUUUUCCUCAGUGACAACUGACAACAAGUAUAACAAAACAUGAUAUUGUUUUAGAAUAUGAUAGGGAUAAACCACGUAUUUCAAUCUCACGCGACGACAUGACGUGAUCUUCUAUAAUUCAAUAACUAGUACAUCUACAUCAUAAUAACGGAUGGACUAAAAAUGCGCUAAAGCGAAAUAUUGAAACUUUAGGACAGCAUUUACAAUGUCAAACUGAUAACGGUUUAUGUACCAAUCGGAUCAAAAGGUAUUUGAACUCAUGAGAUUUCGUCAUAAAUGUUUAUUUAAAUACUAUAAUUAUAUGUGGUAAUAACGAUUAAGUACGGUUUUAAGCCGUAUUAUUACUAAAGUAGUCCACUAAUUAUUGCUAGAUUGGUGUAUAAAUAGAAGAAAAAAACUUACUACAUACCCUAAUAUUUAUCUUUAGACUUUAAAUCACAAUGUCCAAGUCCAAAGUCAAUUUUGUUUUUUAUUUUAUUUUCUCGCAAAGAAUAUAAAAUAUCUGCAAAUUCAAAGUAUAUAGAAUUUGUCAAAGGCAUAUACUUUUAAGAAAAAGAAAAAGAAAAAUCCAGCAUAAAAGAAAACAUGAAAACUUAGAUUUUUUUUUUCUUUGAAAUUAGUAAACCUCUUAAUAUGAAUUUCUAAAUUGAAAGAUUUUUCUCUUGCCUUUAAAACUCUAAAGAUAUUUAAAUUCUGUAACUAUUUAGUUUGUAAAUCGGUAUUUCAAAGUACAUGUUUCAAGAAACUUUUUAAACAAGUUAUUUAAUUAUUUAGAACUAUAUUUAAAAUUAAUGUAAUUAAGUAUCCAAAUCAUUGACUAGAAGAGAUGAUAAAUAAUAGUAUUUUAGGUCCUACCACAACUUUUAAAAUAUUAAAAUUUUCUUAGUAGAUAAUAUACAUAUUUGUCAAUUAUUUUUAGUUGUUUUUUCCUUCCAAAUUGUAAAUUGACCACAAAUUAUAUUUUGUCAAUACUCGCUAAUGUGAACCAGUUUGCGAAGAGGAAGAACAAACGCAAUUACUUGUUUAAGCCUUAGAAGUUAGAACUCCUUAUUUUCUCUAGUCUCCAUAUAAGAAGAACACCUCUAAUCACUAAGUCUCGGAGAAAACUGCUUGUGUUAUCUGUUCUCCUUCCAAAAGCCUCCUCUCUGUUUCUGUUUUUUUUCUUUGGUGUCAUAUGCACCAAUCAUUAAUCAUGGACGACAAAACAAGAUCCAUAAUCUCACUUAUACUCUUCUUGCUUUUGACCAUCCCUGCACGAGCUCAGCGGACAACAACGGAGACUCCAACGACAAAGUUCAUUUUCCGAGGUUUUAACGGGAGCGAAUCGGAUAUUCGUACUCAAGGAGCUGCGAUGAUCAAACCCGACGGACUCUUGAGGCUCACUGACCGAAACCAAAACGUCGUCGGUACAGCUUUCUACAACAAACCGGUUAGAUUGCUAGACACUAAUAAUACAAGUUCCACAAACAACACGGUUCGUUCUUUUAGCACUUCUUUCGUAUUUGUCAUCAUUCCUUCAAGCUCAAGCAACGGAGGUUUUGGCUUCACGUUCGCGCUAUCUCCGACCCCUUAUCGCCCCGGAGCUGAUCCCGAGCAGUUUUUGGGGCUUCUCAACAAAGACAACGAUGGGAAUUCGACGAAUCACGUUUUCGCCGUGGAAUUCGACACCGUACAAGGAUUCAAAGACGGUGCUGAUAGUUCAGGCAAUCACAUCGGUCUGAAUUUCAACAGUCUCAAAUCUGCCUAUCAAGAACCGGUCGUGUAUUACGACAACGAUGGUCCUAAUCGGAAAGAGGAUUUCCGGCUUCAGAGCGGGGAGCCGAUCAGAGCACAUUUGGACUACGAUGGACCAACUCAAACUCUUAACUUCACCGUUUAUCCGGCUAAAUCAAGGUCUCGACCUAUAAGGCCUUUGAUCUCGCAACUACCGGUUCCAAACUUGUCGCAGAUCGUGCAAGAAGAAAUGUAUGUAGGAUUCACAGCGGCGACGGGGAGAGAGUCGAGUGCUCAUUACGUGAUGGGUUGGAGUUUUUCCAGCGGCGGCGAUCGUCCAAUUGCGGAUACGCUAGAACUCUCGGAGCUCCCUCCUGCGCCUCCGAAUAAAGCGAAGAAGGGAGGUUACAAUUCUCAGGUCAUCGCUCUGAUCGUAGCUCUAUCGGGAGUAACAGUGAUCUUGCUUGCGUUACUCUUCUUCUUCUCCAUGUACAAGAAGCGACUGCAACAAGGAGAGAUUCUCGAAGACUGGGAAAUCAAUCAUCCUCACAGACUCAGAUACAAAGAUCUCUUCGCUGCCACUGAUGGAUUCAGUGAGGAUAGGAUUAUCGGAACCGGAGGAUUCGGUACCGUUUUCAGGGGAAACAUCGCAUCGUCUCCGUCUAAUCAAAUCGCAGUGAAGAAGAUAACUCCGAAUAGUAUGCAAGGUGUUCGAGAAUUCAUCGCAGAGAUCGAGAGUUUGGGGAGACUAAGACAUAAGAAUCUGGUCAACCUUCAAGGAUGGUGCAAACACAAGAACGAUCUCUUGUUGAUUUACGAUUAUAUCCCCA
This 3802-nucleotide long non-coding RNA is filed under the name Capsella rubella. Its description in RNAcentral is "long non-coding RNA (CRUB_LNC001806)". Lineage: Eukaryota; Viridiplantae; Streptophyta; Magnoliopsida; Brassicales; Brassicaceae. The record is from RNAcentral.